This 583-nucleotide small RNA is filed under the name Pan troglodytes (chimpanzee). Its description in RNAcentral is "retained intron". The record is from RNAcentral. Lineage: Eukaryota; Metazoa; Chordata; Mammalia; Primates; Hominidae.
UUUUUCAGGGUUCAAUGACUCGAUUCCACUUGUUCUCUCUCCACCUUCUCUAGUCGUGCAUUGAGGCCCAUGAGAAGGACAUGGAGCUCUCAUUUGCCGUGCAGCGCAGCAAGGACAUGGUGUGUGGGAUCUGCAUGGAGGUGGUCUAUGAGAAAGCCAACCCCAGUGAGCGCCGCUUCGGGAUCCUCUCCAACUGCAACCACACCUACUGUCUCAAGUGCAUUCGCAAGUGGAGGAGUGCUAAGCAAUUUGAGAGCAAGAUCAUAAAGUCCUGCCCAGAAUGCCGGAUCACAUCUAACUUUGUCAUUCCAAGUGAGUACUGGGUGGAGGAGAAAGAAGAGAAGCAGAAACUCAUUCUGAAAUACAAGGAGGCAAUGAGCAACAAGGCGUGCAGGUAUUUUGAUGAAGGACGUGGGAGCUGCCCAUUUGGAGGGAACUGUUUUUACAAGCAUGCGUACCCUGAUGGCCGUAGAGAGGAGCCACAGAGACAGAAAGUGGGAACAUCAAGCAGAUACCGGGCCCAACGAAGGAACCACUUCUGGGAACUCAUUGAGGAAAGAGAGAACAGCAACCCCUUUGACAA